GACGAACGCUGGCGGCGUGCCUAAUACAUGCAAGUAGAACGCUGAAGGAGGAGCUUGCUUCUCCGGAUGAGUUGCGAACGGGUGAGUAACGCGUAGGUAACCUGCCUGGUAGCGGGGGAUAACUAUUGGAAACGAUAGCUAAUACCGCAUAACAGUAGAUGUUGCAUGACAUUUGCUUAAAAGGUGCAAUUGCAUCACUACCAGAUGGACCUGCGUUGUAUUAGCUAGUUGGUGGGGUAACGGCUCACCAAGGCGACGAUACAUAGCCGACCUGAGAGGGUGAUCGGCCACACUGGGACUGAGACACGGCCCAGACUCCUACGGGAGGCAGCAGUAGGGAAUCUUCGGCAAUGGACGGAAGUCUGACCGAGCAACGCCGCGUGAGUGAAGAAGGUUUUCGGAUCGUAAAGCUCUGUUGUAAGAGAAGAACGAGUGUGAGAGUGGAAAGUUCACACUGUGACGUAUCUACCAGA
This 473-nucleotide ribosomal RNA is filed under the name Streptococcus mitis. RNAcentral's name for it is "bacterial SSU rRNA". It matches the Rfam family "Bacterial small subunit ribosomal RNA", at positions 28 to 487 of the family's 1533-position model. The record is from RNAcentral. Lineage: Bacteria; Bacillati; Bacillota; Bacilli; Lactobacillales; Streptococcaceae.